Molecule: ribosomal RNA, 253 nt
Filed under: uncultured prokaryote
Description: partial 16S ribosomal RNA
Rfam family: Bacterial small subunit ribosomal RNA
Source: RNAcentral
UACAGAGGGUGCGAGCGUUAAUCGGAAUUACUGGGCGUAAAGGGUGCGUAGGUGGGAUAAUAAGUUAUGUGUGAAAGUUCUGGGCUCAACCUGGAGACGGCAGAUAAGACUGUUAUUCUAGAGUAUAGGAGAGGGUAGUGGAAUUUCCGGUGUAGCGGUGAAAUGCGUAGAGAUCGGAAGGAACACCGGUGGCGAAGGCGGCUACCUGGCCUGAUACUGACACUGAGGCACGAAAGCAUGGGGAGCAAACAGG